CUACGGGUGGCAGCAGUGGGGAAUAUUGCACAAUGGGCGCAAGCCUGAUGCAGCCAUGCCGCGUGUAUGAAGAAGGCCUUCGGGUUGUAAAGUACUUUCAGCGGGGAGGAAGGGAGUAAAGUUAAUACCUUUGCUCAUUGACGUUACCCGCAGAAGAAGCACCGGCUAACUCCGUGCCAGCAGCCGCGGUAAUACGGAGGGGGCAAGCGUUAAGCGGAAUUACUGGGCGUAAAGCGCACGCAGGCGGUUUGUUAAGUCAGAUGUGAAAUCCCCGGGCUCAACCUGGGAACUGCAUCUGAUACUGGCAAGCUUGAGUCUCGUAGAGGGGGGUAGAAUUCCAGGUGUAGCGGUGAAAUGCGUAGAGAUCUGGAGGAAUACCGGUGGCGAAGGCGGCCCCCUGGACGAAGACUGACGCUCAGGUGCGAAAGCGUGGGGAGCAAACAGGAUUAGAUACCCUAGUAGUC
RNAcentral lists this ribosomal RNA (464 nucleotides) under uncultured bacterium. Its description in RNAcentral is "partial 16S ribosomal RNA". It matches the Rfam family "Bacterial small subunit ribosomal RNA", at positions 339 to 795 of the family's 1533-position model. The record is from RNAcentral.